UUACACCAUUACGACGAAGAAGAAGCAGCCGCAGCGCGCCCGCGUGCCCGCCCGCCGCCGCUGCGCGCCGGCGCUCAACGCGCUUUUGAUUCUCUCCGUUUCCCCUUCUCCAUCUUCGUCUCCACCAUCGUCGUCGUCGUCGUCGUCGUCGUCGUCGACGAUGUCUGUGGUGGGUGGGUUGGAGUGCGUGGUGUGCGUGGCUGUGACGGAUGCGUGCCGUGGUAGGAGGAGAGGUCGAGGGAGAGGCCGAGGGAGAGACCGAGGCGGGGGGAGGCAGGCUCGCCGCCGGUCGGAGCAGAGGUCAAGGGAGAGGCAC
RNAcentral lists this long non-coding RNA (316 nucleotides) under Ananas comosus (pineapple). RNAcentral describes it as "long non-coding RNA (ACOM_LNC042281)". Lineage: Eukaryota; Viridiplantae; Streptophyta; Magnoliopsida; Poales; Bromeliaceae. The record is from RNAcentral.